UGGAGUGUAGCGCGUUUGCCUUGUAAGCAUUAGGUCGCGGGUUUGAUUCCCGCCGCUCCGG
RNAcentral lists this transfer RNA (61 nucleotides) under Diaphorina citri (Asian citrus psyllid). It matches the Rfam family "tRNA". Rfam says of the family: Transfer RNA (tRNA) molecules are approximately 80 nucleotides in length. Their secondary structure includes four short double-helical elements and three loops (D, anti-codon, and T loops). The record is from Rfam by way of RNAcentral. Lineage: Eukaryota; Metazoa; Arthropoda; Insecta; Hemiptera; Psyllidae.